GCCAGUGGGGGAAGAUCAACCUCCUCUCUACAGGGGAUCCCACUGCGUCUUCAUCUCUGCAUCCUCCCUGUUCUCUGAAUUCUAAGCACAACUCAGACAGACAGAAUAUAAUCCUCUCUCUUCGUAAAUCAGAGCCCUUGGGAACUGCAUACAAAGCCAAUUCCUUUCCGAGUUCACGUUUUUCUGACCCUUUAGGAUCAGGUUUCACUUUAAUUGUCUCUCAGUCCCCCCCUUCCCCCAAACUCUUUUCAACCCCCCCACUCCUAUCUGCAACCUGCAGUUUUGAUUUUAUUAUCCCCCUACCCACUUGAAUACAUUUGUUCUCUAUUUAUCAUUCCACUAGUAACUCUGGAGGGUGUUAAACAGCAGCUAUUAAAGUUAGACAUUUUUAAAUCACCACAUCCAGGUAACUUGCAUCCAAGAGUUUUAAAAGAGCUGGCAGAGGAGUGCUAAUGUUGAUUUUCAAUAACUCUUGGGAAGUUCAAGAAGACUGGAAGAAAGGGAAUGUUGUGUCAGUAUUUUAGCAGGGCAAAUGGGAUGACCCAGGUAAUUAUAGGUUGGUCAGCCUAACAUCAAUCCUGGGCAAGAUAAUGGCACAGCUGAGAUUGGACUCUAUUCAUAAAAAAUGUAAUUAAGGUAAUAAAAUUAAUGCUAAUCACAGUGGGUUUGUGGAAUAUAGAUCCUGUCAAACCCACUUGAUACUCUUUUUCAUGAGAUUACAAGUUUGGCUGAUAAAGGUAAUAGUGUAGAUGUAAGAUCCAUAGACCUGUCUAUACUACAAAGUUAUGUCAGUGUAAGUCAGCUUGUUUCAGCUUAGUUUUACAUGUGUCCACACCUGCAUUAGUCUCCUGCUAACAUAACAUCACCUCUCCAGAUGACCGAGCCAGAGCUGACCUAUUUCUAGUCUAGACACUGCAUUACCUGUGUUGAUCCUAACAGUUCUCCGGCAGCUGUCCCACAAUGCCCUGGUUGCCCCCGUGACAGUGACCAUUCUGGUUGCCAUUGUGAAAUCCAUUGCCCAGGGGUCACAGACACCAGAAGUCUCCUUCCGUCCCCUUGAAAAACUUCAUUGUGUUUUGGAAAUGCCUUUUCCUGAUUGUCCACCUUGGCAAGCAUGCAGCAGGCCAGGGAGACCACCACCACAUCUGGGGCUCCCCUGCAGACCUGCCACUUCUACAAUGAACUACACCCCCUACCAGCACCCGAAAUCUGACCAGGACCACUUUGCAAGAGCUAGGCAUGGGAUCCCCCACAAUGCACAGUGAGGAGGAGGAGAAGGGGGUGAGCAGCAGAGGGGAAUACAAAACAUGCUGGGAGCCAGGAGCUGCUUGAAACUCUGCCGGAAUUGAGCCAGUCCCAUCACACGAGCGCAGAUGAGCCCGGGGAUGACGGUGAAGGGAGCUCAGCUUCUGCCGGGGUGCCCUUGAGAGGUGCCCCCUCCACGCCCGCUGAGCACCUGAUGCAGCUCACGUGAAGAAAGAAGCAGUCCAGGGAGAUGUUCCAAGAUUCUCCAGUCCCCUGCAGCUUGUGACUGCAAACACAGGGAUUGGAGGGGGCUGAAUGAUCAAGAGCAGAGUGAAAGACAAAGAUGGAGAGGUCGGAUGCGGGAGGAGAGGCAAAGGGACCAAGAGGUGCAGUGGGAAGUGCAUCAGGACAUGAAGGCCCAAACCUGUCUCCAACUACUGGGGCGUAUGGUGGCAGACACCUUUGCUAUAAAGCAUGUAAGACUCCACAUGCGUCAUCUUCGAGGAUGACUCAGAACAGUAUACAUCCUGAGAAGACAUCAAUGCCGUUAACAAUCAAAAACUCACUCAACUAGGGGGCAGAUCCUCACAACAUAUGUGCAAGUGUUCCCUUCACCCAACCACACCUGUCACUAACAUUGACGAUGGAUGCAAAUGGUCCAGAGGAUUAUGGCGCUAAAUGCCCAAAGACUCCAGACACAGCAGCCUUUCCAUCCCAUGGAAAACUCCAUCGUUUCUGCUCCCUAUACCCCCAGAAGAACAGGUGACAGCAUCGCAUGAACUGGGGUGGUGGAACCAGGAGAAGGGGGGGGGAAAGCACGUUCACAAUGCAAAUAUUCAGGGGGGUCUGCCCCCAUGUAAACUUGUGCAUGCACAGUAGGAUGGGGCAGGGAGGUGCAGGGGUGGUGUUAAAUAGGUCUUGGAGCAGUGGGAAGUUCCAGAAGACUGGCAGAAAGCAAAUCUUGUGCCAGUUUUUUAAAAGGGUAAAUGGAAUGGUAACUAUAGGCCUGUCUGACAUGGAUCUCAGGCAAGAUAAUGGAGCAGCUGAUACAGGACUCGAUUUAUAAUAAUUAAAGGAGAGUAAAGAGACUAGUGCAAAUCAGCAUACGUUUAUGGAAACCAAAGACUGUCACAUUAACUUAAUAGUCUUUUUUUUUACAAGAUUACAGGUUUGGUUGAUAAAGGUAAUUGUGUUGAUGCAAUAGACUUCUGUAAGGCAUUUGACAUGAUACUGCACAAAAUUUUGAUUACAAAUAUAUAAUGAUAUAAUAUUAACGUAA
Molecule: non-coding RNA, 2524 nt
Organism: Chrysemys picta bellii (western painted turtle)
Lineage: Eukaryota; Metazoa; Chordata; Testudines; Emydidae
Source: RefSeq, a predicted model, not a curated record